CUCAGGGGAUUGCCUCAGUAGCGGCGAGUGAAGCGGCAAGAGCUCAGAUUUGAAAUCGUGCUUUGCGGCACGAGUUGUAGAUUGCAGGUUGGAGUCUGUGUGGAAGGCGGUGUCCAAGUCCCUUGGAACAGGGCGCCCAGGAGGGUGAGAGCCCCGUGGGAUGCCGGCGGAAGCAGUGAGGCCCUUCUGACGAGUCGAGUUGUUUGGGAAUA
RNAcentral lists this ribosomal RNA (212 nucleotides) under Pichia kudriavzevii. RNAcentral's name for it is "partial 26S ribosomal RNA". It matches the Rfam family "Eukaryotic large subunit ribosomal RNA", at positions 66 to 282 of the family's 3401-position model. The record is from RNAcentral. Lineage: Eukaryota; Fungi; Ascomycota; Pichiomycetes; Pichiales; Pichiaceae.